This 56-nucleotide ribosomal RNA is filed under the name Heyndrickxia coagulans. Lineage: Bacteria; Bacillati; Bacillota; Bacilli; Caryophanales; Bacillaceae. The record is from RNAcentral.
GCGGAAAGGUCACACCCGUUCCCAUCCCGAACACGGAAGUUAAGCUUUCCAGCGCC